This 295-nucleotide unclassified non-coding RNA is filed under the name uncultured fungus. RNAcentral describes it as "sequence contains ITS1". Lineage: Eukaryota; Fungi. The record is from RNAcentral.
UUGGACUACUAGGGUUUCUAAUCCUGUUCGAUACCCACGCUUUCGAGCCUCAGCGUCAAUUAUAGUUUGGUAAGCUGCCUUCGCAAUCGGUGUUCUGUGACAUAUCUAUGCAUUUCACCGCUACUUGUCACAUUCCGCCUACCUCAGCUACAUUCAAGCUCUACAGUAUCAAUGGCACUGCGAUGGUUGAGCCACCGUCUUUCACCACUGACUUAUAAAGCCGCCUACGCUCCCUUUAAACCCAAUAAAUCCGGAUAACGCUUGGAUCCUCCGUAUUACCGCGGCUGCUGGCACC